AGAUCAUCUCCACUCAAGGCAGUGAAAUGUCAUUGAAUAGCCAAAAAAGUUCUAAUAACUUGACUACUGAGUUAGUGAGUGAGUGAGUGUGUGUGUGUGUGUGUGUGUGUGUAUAACAGCAGUUGCAAACUCAGUACCUACAAGGUCCAGACAAUAUAAUGCACAAAAUAAUGGACAAUAUAAUGGACAAUAAAAUUAUGAGGUCCAGGUAAUAUAAUGAGGGAAGUAGCCUGAAUGCAUACUAUGAUGAGACAGAAAGUUCUAGAAUGACACAGUGGGCAGUCAUUUUUCAGCAGAGUUUUUGCAUGGUGGAAAUGUGAGCCUAAUAUCAGACUGAUUUUCUAGAGAUGUUGGAAAUGCAGAUUUUUAAAAAAUAAGAUGAAAAUCUCCUUACUUUUAAAUGUUGGCAACUAAUCCUAAUAAAAAUAAUACUUCAGGUCAAACAAGACACAUCUGUGAACUCUGUGCAGGCUUAGGAGCUGGCAGUUAUGGACCUCUGAUGUACAUGACGUGAGAAGAGGGAACACCAAGUUCUUAUUUGUCCAGCUGGCUCGAAGCUGUUAGGAUGAGCCCUGCAGCUGGAUGAAGCAACUUGUUAAUUAUGGGUUGCCAAACAGUGCUAGACUCUAGGUCAGUCUGGAACAUCCAGGUUCUAAUCAGAAACUCGGGAGCAAAUUCAACUUGGAGAUGAACAGACGUAUUAUCAGUGACUGCUGUUUGGGCUGCUGUUCAAUUUUGGAAAAUUCCUGAACCCUUGAUUGACUUCUACCGAAAACCAGAGCUGAGUUUCUCCCCCAGAAACGGUCCCGGAACUGUGUGAGCACAGAUAUGUCUGGGAGCUACUGGCUUCCAGCAGGUAAUAUUUGCACUCAUCAGACUUGCGGAAUGUACCAACAUUCUGUGCUGUUUGAACCAGGAUCACUGCCAGGAAAAUGCAACACACAAAAAUUGUUCCAGUUACGAAGGGACAAAGUUCAUUAGCAUCUGGAACUGAAGCUUUACAGACAGUGGCCGAUAUAGCAUUGUAACUUUCCUCCCUUUUUUAAAUUGCCAUUGGACUUAUAAUUAAUAAUAAAGCUUGACUUUUGUUCUUCUGUUUUCA
RNAcentral lists this long non-coding RNA (1102 nucleotides) under Bos indicus x Bos taurus (hybrid cattle). RNAcentral describes it as "lncRNA (ENSBIXG00005013061.1)". Lineage: Eukaryota; Metazoa; Chordata; Mammalia; Artiodactyla; Bovidae. The record is from RNAcentral.